Molecule: long non-coding RNA, 1359 nt
Filed under: Mus musculus (house mouse)
Lineage: Eukaryota; Metazoa; Chordata; Mammalia; Rodentia; Muridae
Description: predicted gene 16252
Source: RNAcentral
ACACUGUCAACAGGACCGCUGUGGAGAGAGGCCCAGUCAGAGAGAGGCAGAGGGAGGAGACAAAUGACUUAGUGUCAGAGGGGUGCAGAGGACAUCCUGCCCCCAGACAUCCUGCCCCCCAGCCUCCAUGUUCAUUUAGACUCAUGUAUCCCCAGGUUGGCUUCAAGCUCACUGUGUGACCAAGAACGGCCUUGAAUUUCUGAUCUACUGAUUGCAGCUUCUGGGUCCUGGGAUCACGGGUCUGUGGCACCACUCCUGGUUUCCGUGCUGGGGACUGAAACCAGGGAUUUGUGCAUUUAAGAUAAGCACUCCGGUAACCGAGCUCCACGCUCCUCCCCCUCCCCCCAUGUCAACCACUACCUUGAUUUUGAGUACCUACUGUGUACUAGAAAAACUGUUAAUAGUUAUCAGUUUUCCUACCGGUCUAUCCUACUGUGUGCUCUCAGAAGAGGCCAGGCUAUUGAUACACAGAAGUAACUGAAGGUCACUGAAGUUGAUCAAGAUCACCCCAGCUAAUUACACCACCAGGACCACGGGUUGUGGUAAUCUUCAAGUAGGUGUUGAUUGUCUCCCGUUACUCUGAACACUAGAGGGAACACACAGUUCGGCCUUAGAAGCCCUCUGUCAGCUGCACGGACUCCGUGGGCUCUGAGAAGUGAUCAAAGCCCCACAGGUUCCCCCAGAAGAUCCAACCUUUCCAAAUACCUGCUGCAUUGCCAACUGCCGGGCCAGAAUCCACACGGGAUGAGUGGCAGCCACCCCUCCUCUCUGCUGUCUCUUGAGCCCCUUCCCUGCGGCAAACCCUGAUUGAAGACCCUCCAUGCACUGGCUCUGAUUUUCAAAGGUCUAGGGGGCAAGCAUUGCAAGUGUGUGGAGAUACGCUGCCGAAACCCUGCUGCCCCUUCAGAUUUACCACCAUCCCUGACACCUGCCCCAGGACGGACUACCGCAGGGCCGACAGAGCAUGCACAGUCUCUUGGGAUCCCUCUACAGCUCAAGGCUUCCACCAACCCAGCAGAAACACGCAGACGUUGUUCCACCUCCUUUAUCUCCCAUCUCCUUCUGUGUCUCAGGGCCUGCAUGGCUGCGUAGGGCUUGCCUCGCUCACUCCAGCUCUCCCUGGGUGGUAUUUUAUAGUACAGCUGCCUGGCAUGCCUGAUUCCAUCUUGGCAUCUGCCCUUUGAAGGACCUGAACUCACACAGCAGACGUCUCUCUCAUCCCAGAGAAGAGGAAGCGGAGGACCGCUGGCGAAGUUCACAGUCAAGGGCGGCCAGGGCUGGGUUGUGGGCAGGCGUGUUUGAUUCCACAAGCUGGUUUUAGCACUUCAGGGCACUCCAUAAAGGAUUAAACUGACAGAA